AUUGAACGCUGGCGGCAGGCCUAACACAUGCAAGUCGAACGGUAACAGGAAGAAGCUUGCUUCUUUGCUGACGAGUGGCGGACGGGUGAGUAAUGUCUGGGAAACUGCCUGAUGGAGGGGGAUAACUACUGGAAACGGAAGCUAAUACCGCAUAACGUCGCAAGACCAAAGAGGGGGACCUUCGGGCCUCUUGCCAUCGGAUGUGCCCAGAUGGGAUUAGCUAGUAGGUGGGGUAACGGCUCACCUAGGCGACGAUCCCUAGCUGGUCUGAGAGGAUGACCAGCCACACUGGAACUGAGACACGGUCCAGACUCCUACGGGAGGCAGCAGUGGGGAAUAUUGCACAAUGGGCGCAAGCCUGAUGCAGCCAUGCCGCGUGUAUGAAGAAGGCCUUCGGGUUGUAAAGUACUUUCAGCGGGGAGGAAGGGAGUAAAGUUAAUACCUUUGCUCAUUGACGUUACCCGCAGAAGAAGCACCGGCUAACUCCGUG
RNAcentral lists this ribosomal RNA (490 nucleotides) under uncultured bacterium. RNAcentral's name for it is "partial 16S ribosomal RNA". It matches the Rfam family "Bacterial small subunit ribosomal RNA", at positions 30 to 507 of the family's 1533-position model. The record is from RNAcentral.